UUUGCGUAUAAUAAGUACAUUUUUUUUUCAUAGGUUUUGAAAAAGUUUUUUCUUCGAUCUCACACACUUUGCAGAUCUGCCACGGAUUUGGCAAUUUUUACUGCUUGUUUUCUGUUGUACCGUUUAAUUAAAAUGUAAACGGUUGCAAAGAGUUGCACACUUACAAUGCACAGGAUAAUCGUGAGUUUGAACUCGUGCGAUUCAUGCCACUCUUCAUGUAAAUCCAGUGUAUUCUGGAUGUUGACUUGUGGGUCACCAGUAUUUCUCACAAUUUUUGAGUUGGGUUUACCCAUUUCAAUAAUUAUCACUGGGUCUUGUUGAAUUCACUAAGAGUUAAAAACUCUGUCAUGGUAUGCCAUAUGUUAUGUUUCACUGAGUCAUUCUUUCUCACCCAACUGAAACGCUCAGUUUGGUGGUUAAACUAAUAAAUGAUUUUAUUGUAGAAUUCUUAAUCUACAGUUGACCUACGGGAGGCACUUGAAGUCGGUAACCGUGUGUAAAGGAAAAGGCAAAUUUUAUGUGCCCUGGUAACAGCACGAUAUGUGCGCUUGGGUCGCAAUGUAAUUCGAGAUAUUCGAAUUGCAUAAUGUGUUCAGUGCCAUCGAACUGAUUUGUGCACUGUUGCAUAUGCGUUUCCUUCGCGUGAGAAUUGUCUCCGCGGGGUACUUGACUGCUAUUGUGGUCUUCUAAGAAUUUAGGUUGGGUAAAUGAAUUCUGGUCUCUCACAAUGUGGGUUUGUUGCUAUGCAUGCUACACUCGAUCGCUCACACUGUACCUAGAAUGCGUUUCUUUAUUCCUCAAAGUUUUCACCUAUAUCUGGUGGUCGCCAUGUUGACGGGUCACGGUCGCCAUAUCACAGUUUGAAAAUUGGCUUCAGGUUCCGAUAAAAGCUUUGUCUUGCGCUAUCAGUCUAGAAAGGUGCUGAAGGAUCUGUUGCAAGCCGUUUCUUUGAUUGGGAGCUUUCAAAGUUCAUCGACUAGUUUCUCUAUGAUCAAAAAUGUACUCUGAAACCAUCGUGAGGAACUGCCAUUGAUCUGUCAGAGUUUGACAUGAUUCUUCGAAAGGCUUCUCAAAUAAUUUCCUUUUCGUAAAUCUUUAAGUAUUUUGAAGAUUUCACAAAAUUCUGGCGUUCAUCGUAAAGGACGCUAAAUCAAAAUAAAAAUUCAAGACAGUUGUGAAUAUGGAUUGAAAUAUUCGUCAACUCUGUUGUCUCGUAACAGGUAUCCAACUAUUGUAAUUUACUAUUACCAACCUAAAUGUGCCGGGAAAAAAAUCCGUUCGUUACGCCGUCCGUUUUAUGAAAGCGAUUUUUUUUGGAAAUGACUUAAAACAAUUUAUUUUGUUGAUGAUAGUCGUCAGUGAAUUGGAACACAAUUAUCAUGACACAGUUUCAUGAUAAUUAUGUUCCAAUUCAUUAACGACUGUCAUCACUGUGUUUUACAACUAAACGUCUCAUCUAAAAUUAUUUCAAUUUAACCUGCGUAGUCUCAGGAGGUAGUCGAAAUCAGUUCAGUGAUGUAUAUUACUUCUUAGCAGAGAGAUGGAAAAUCAAAGAGGGAAAGAAUGUGGAGAAGGUUCUUAGCAGCAGGCUUGCUUGGCGAUACUGUACUGCUUAUACCGUCUUCAAGUAGAGCAAAAACUUGCAAGCUUCUGAGCAGUGAUUAACAAUGUUCAUCCUUACAAAGAAGUUUUCCACAAUUCCGAUUGGAAGCCUCUGAGAAAAUGAUUUCCAAGCUUCCGAGUGGAUGCUCUUCAAGCUUCCGAGUAAAAAAUGUUCACGCUUUUGAAAGGAAGCUUUUCAAGCUUCUGAUCGAGAGAAAAAAAAAAACUUUGCGAGCUUCCAAGGAGAUGAUUUUCAAGCUUCUGAGUGGCAGCAGCUGUUCAAGUUUCGGGACGAAAGCUCGUCAAGCUCGUGAGCGAAAUUUCCCAAGAACUUCUGUGAUUUCUGUUACUCGAGAUCAAACUCCAAGUAUAAUAGGUUCGACAUUAUUUGCAAUUGUUUUAUAUUUCUAAAAAUAUCGAUAGCCUUUUGCCACACUUCGAUGUUAUAAUUUUUAAUGGCUUGUUUAUAAUUAUUUUUGAUUAUGGCCAAUAAAAGUACGGCCUGUUCAAAUUUUUGCGCUCCUAUCCUCGGUGACUUCCUUAAAUUGGAAUCAUCCAAAAGAAACUUUUUAUUGCUAAUAAACUAUUCAAUUCCUCGACCAUAACCGUUGAAAUAGCUUUUGAUUGAAUCACCGUGGUUUAUUUUAUAAUAUUCUUCAUUGAAAUUACUCCUUGAAAGGCAUUUUCACUUCACCUCCAUCUAAACUUAUUAUUGAAAUUACUCGUUGAAAGAUAUUUUCACUUCACUUCAAUCUAAACUAUUUAUCUAAAUCUAUUUAUGUACCUUUAAUACUACGCUUCUUUGUAGUUUCGAGAGAAUAUUGUAGUUUACCAUUAAAAUUGGCGGUCCCGAUCUCGGGUUAUGUCAUAGAAGAAAUUAAAUUAAAAAUUGAAUUUCGCGUUGUAUCGUGUUUUGUACACCUUUCUUUGUGUACUUGCUGUGAAGCCUCAGCAAGAGAUACGCUAUAAUCACGACUGCGACUGUUACAAACGCGCCUACCAGUAUCUUCAUCUCC
This is a long non-coding RNA of Aedes aegypti (yellow fever mosquito), 2618 nucleotides long. RefSeq lists it as uncharacterized. NCBI's taxonomy places the organism in Eukaryota, Metazoa, Arthropoda, Insecta, Diptera, Culicidae. The transcript is spliced from 3 exons. The record is from RefSeq and is a predicted model, not a curated record.